AAAUUGAAGAGUUUGAUCAUGGCUCAGAUUGAACGCUGGCGGCAGGCCUAACACAUGCAAGUCGAACGGUAACAGGAAGCAGCUUGCUGCUUUGCUGACGAGUGGCGGACGGGUGAGUAAUGUCUGGGAAACUGCCUGAUGGAGGGGGAUAACUACUGGAAACGGUGGCUAAUACCGCAUAACGUCGCAAGACCAAAGAGGGGGACCUUCGGGCCUCUUGCCAUCAGAUGUGCCCAGAUGGGAUUAGCUUGUUGGUGAGGUAACGGCUCACCAAGGCGACGAUCCCUAGCUGGUCUGAGAGGAUGACCAGCCACACUGGAACUGAGACACGGUCCAGACUCCUACGGGAGGCAGCAGUGGGGAAUAUUGCACAAUGGGCGCAAGCCUGAUGCAGCCAUGCCGCGUGUAUGAAGAAGGCCUUCGGGUUGUAAAGUACUUUCAGCGGGGAGGAAGGUGUUGUGGUUAAUAACCACAGCAAUUGACGUUACCCGCAGAAGAAGCACCGGCUAACUCCGUGCCAGCAGCCGCGGUAAUACGGAGGGUGCAAGCGUUAAUCGGAAUUACUGGGCGUAAAGCGCACGCAGGCGGUCUGUCAAGUCGGAUGUGAAAUCCCCGGGCUCAACCUGGGAACUGCAUUCGAAACUGGCAGGCUUGAGUCUUGUAGAGGGGGGUAGAAUUCCAGGUGUAGCGGUGAAAUGCGUAGAGAUCUGGAGGAAUACCGGUGGCGAAGGCGGCCCCCUGGACAAAGACUGACGCUCAGGUGCGAAAGCGUGGGGAGCAAACAGGAUUAGAUACCCUGGUAGUCCACGCCGUAAACGAUGUCUACUUGGAGGUUGUGCCCUUGAGGCGUGGCUUCCGGAGCUAACGCGUUAAGUAGACCGCCUGGGGAGUACGGCCGCAAGGUUAAAACUCAAAUGAAUUGACGGGGGCCCGCACAAGCGGUGGAGCAUGUGGUUUAAUUCGAUGCAACGCGAAGAACCUUACCUGGUCUUGACAUCCACGGAAGUUUUCAGAGAUGAGAAUGUGCCUUCGGGAACCGUGAGACAGGUGCUGCAUGGCUGUCGUCAGCUCGUGUUGUGAAAUGUUGGGUUAAGUCCCGCAACGAGCGCAACCCUUAUCCUUUGUUGCCAGCGAUUAGGUCGGGAACUCAAAGGAGACUGCCAGUGAUAAACUGGAGGAAGGUGGGGAUGACGUCAAGUCAUCAUGGCCCUUACGACCAGGGCUACACACGUGCUACAAUGGCGCAUACAAAGAGAAGCGACCUCGCGAGAGCAAGCGGACCUCAUAAAGUGCGUCGUAGUCCGGAUUGGAGUCUGCAACUCGACUCCAUGAAGUCGGAAUCGCUAGUAAUCGUGGAUCAGAAUGCCACGGUGAAUACGUUCCCGGGCCUUGUACACACCGCCCGUCACACCAUGGGAGUGGGUUGCAAAAGAAGUAGGUAGCUUAACCUUCGGGAGGGCGCUUACCACUUUGUGAUUCAUGACUGGGGUGAAGUCGUAACAAGGUAACCGUAGGGGAACCUGCGGUUGGAUCACCUCCUUACCUUAAAGAAGC
This 1554-nucleotide ribosomal RNA is filed under the name Salmonella enterica subsp. enterica serovar Heidelberg. RNAcentral's name for it is "bacterial SSU rRNA". It matches the Rfam family "Bacterial small subunit ribosomal RNA". The record is from RNAcentral. Lineage: Bacteria; Pseudomonadati; Pseudomonadota; Gammaproteobacteria; Enterobacterales; Enterobacteriaceae. RNAcentral also lists the same sequence under 3 other names.